This 443-nucleotide ribosomal RNA is filed under the name uncultured eukaryote. Its description in RNAcentral is "eukaryotic LSU rRNA". It matches the Rfam family "Eukaryotic large subunit ribosomal RNA", at positions 1800 to 2324 of the family's 3401-position model. The record is from RNAcentral.
GGUACAUAAAAAUUUGAGGGAAUGAUCUUACUUGAAUAGUCGUACUCAUAACCGCAGCAGGUCUCCAAGGUUAGAAGCCUCUAGUUGGCAGAAUAAUGUAGGUAAGGGAAGUCGGCAAAAUAGAUCUGUAACUGCGGAGGCAACGAAGUGGCUCCAGGAUAGCGAACGCUGGAAUGGGUGGGACGUCUUCAUCGGCUUUCCUUGAAUAAUUAACAAUUAACUCAGAACUGAAGCGGACAAGGGGAAUCCGACUGUUUAAUAAAAACAAUAGCAUUGUGAUGGCCUGAAAAAGGUGUUGACACAAUGUGAAUUCUGCCCAGUGCUUUGAAUGUCAAAGUGAAGAAAUUCAACCAAGCGCAGGUAAAACGGCGGGGAGUAACUAUGACUCUCUUAAGGUAGCCAAAUAGCCUCGUCAUCUAAUUAAGUGACGCGCAUGAAUGGAU